Molecule: long non-coding RNA, 1686 nt
Filed under: Homo sapiens (human)
Lineage: Eukaryota; Metazoa; Chordata; Mammalia; Primates; Hominidae
Description: HSALNT0305363
Source: RNAcentral
CUAGAAGGGCGGGAAACUUGAGAACCACGGGCGCGGGAGCCUGGCGGGGACGCAAGCCCGGAACUGGCGGAGGGGUGGGCAGGCGCAUGCGCGCGCGCAGCUGAAACGCCGGCUGAUGAAACUGACAAAGGCGAGAGCGCGCAGCAGCCCACAGCAGCCGAGUUCGCGCCGCCGGUAGGUGCUGCCAUGCCAGGGGGCGGGAUCGUGGAGCGCCUCGCAGAACCGCACGAAAGCAAAAACAAAGCCAUCUCUCCGGAGCAGAAAUAGAACAGACGUGGCCGGGGAAAGCCAAAUAUUUGUGAGAUGAUGUGAACAAAGGGGGAAAAGUCAAUCCAGGGAAGUUUGAGUUUCUGGUUGGAGGCUUCAGCGGCUCUGAUCGCUGGAUACUUUAAGAGAACAUCCUUUGCCCCCGCUCUCCCUCUCUCCCCGAAGAAAAAUAAAUCCUUGGCAAAAUGAGACUUGACGGCAUGAAAAGAAGGUCUCCAGACUGUCCCAGCUGGCGCGGGCGGGGCCGGGGCCGAGGUGCCGCUUGGUGACACUGCAGCCGCGGCUCAGCACUGUCACCCAGAAAGGCCCGCCGACGUCUGUAUGCAGGGAACGUGGCUCUUAGCAGAGCCUGGACAGGCGCAGGGCCAAGGAAGUCUUUGUUUUUGUUUCUUUCUCUAGCCCUUCCUGCCAAUACAUCAGGGAUAUAACUCCUUGGUGUUUCUGCCUUACAAUCGCUCCUUAUACCCCACCCAGAUCCUCAGCACUGCAGCUCCCACUGCCACUGCCCGCUGUGAGUCACCUCCCCCUCUCCCUUUUUUAAACCAAACGGCAAGGCCAUAUUGCAGUUAUCCAUAAAUGGAAAAGCAAGAAGCCACCAAUACCUGUUUGAGAAGAUGGCAUUUUAAUUAGCACACUCCGGCUGCCAUAAACCCGGGCUCCUGCCCCACCUCUCCCCCCGCCCCCUCCUCCCCCCUCCCCCGCCGUGCCCUCUCUCAACCUCCCCGCUCACCCCCAUCUAUGUAAAAAAGCCAUAAAGCCUCUCUCCAAUCGCUUUCUCGGAGGGAGUUUUUGCAACCCCCACAACACAGGUUGAUUGGAAAGGUCUCUCUCCCGGAUAACAACAAUUCAAUGUGCCUUGACAUUUUAAUAGCCUGCCGUCCUGGUGAACACAAUCGAGCAAGGCAGUGAAGCAAACAUCAUUAGGUGGCUGGACUCAGACACAUCACGCUCCAGUUUGGGUUCCAAGGUGCUUCUCUCUGGAUUUUCACCUGCCUUGCCAAAAAUGAUUGAUUACGCUGGGCCAACUGGGUGUCCGGCAAUACCCAACAAAUGACUUUGGCCCCUAACAGCAGGUCUUGGCCAGACAGAAAUCAAUAUUUCACCAUUAAAAUCUAUCAAAGAAGAGUUAAGGCACCAUCUGUCCCUGCCGCCUCUCUAUGUUAAAAUCCUGGAUAUGGAGUCCGAGAUAUGGAAGGCCAAUUGGCUGCCAAAGAAAUGGGAGAGACAACACGUGCGGUGGCUUCAAAGGAGGAGGGAGAGUUGAGUUUAAACUAAUGAAGUAAAGGCAGGGAUGGGAGACUGAAAGGAAGGAAGACGCUGACACUUCUUCAGUGUGAUUGUAUGCCAUACACUGUGCUGGGUGCUGUUAAUACAACAACGCUUCUGGCUAUGUACUGUUUAACCCCAUUAGAAAUAAAG